GACGAACGCUGGCGGCGUGCUUAACACAUGCAAGUCGAACGGUGAAGCGCCUUCCUUUUUGGUGGGUGUGGAUGAGUGGCGAACGGGUGAGUAACACGUGAGUAACCUGCCCCCUUCUUCUGGAUAACCGCAUGAAAGUGUGGCUAAUACGGGAUAUUCUGGGUCUGUCGCAUGAUGGGUCUGGGAAAGAUAUUGUUUCGGUGGGGGAUGGGCUCGCGGCCUAUCAGCUUGUUGGUGGGGUGAUGGCCUACCAAGGCGGUGACGGGUAGCCGGCCUGGGAGGGUGGACGGUCACACUGGGACGGAGACACGGCCCAGACUCCUACGGGAGGCAGCAGUGGGGAAUAUUGCACAAUGGGCGCAAGCCUGAUGCAGCGACGCCGCGUGAGGGAUGGAGGCCUUCGUGUUGUGAACCUCUUUCGCCAGUGAAGCAGGCCUGCCUCGUUUGUGGGUGGGUUGACGGUAGCUGGAUAAGAAGCGCCGGCUAACUACGUG
This 494-nucleotide ribosomal RNA is filed under the name uncultured bacterium. RNAcentral describes it as "partial 16S ribosomal RNA". It matches the Rfam family "Bacterial small subunit ribosomal RNA", at positions 28 to 507 of the family's 1533-position model. The record is from RNAcentral.